GAUGAACGCUGGCGGCGUGCCUAAUACAUGCAAGUCGAGCGAACAGACGAGGAGCUUGCUCCUCUGACGUUAGCGGCGGACGGGUGAGUAACACGUGGAUAACCUACCUAUAAGACUGGGAUAACUUCGGGAAACCGGAGCUAAUACCGGAUAAUAUAUUGAACCGCAUGGUUCAAUAGUGAAAGACGGUUUUGCUGUCACUUAUAGAUGGAUCCGCGCCGCAUUAGCUAGUUGGUAAGGUAACGGCUUACCAAGGCAACGAUGCGUAGCCGACCUGAGAGGGUGACCGGCCACACUGGAACUGAGACACGGUCCAGACUCCUACGGGAGGCAGCAGUAGGGAAUCUUCCGCAAUGGGCGAAAGCCUGACGGAGCAACGCGGCGUGAGUGAUGAAGGUCUUCGGAUCGUAAAACUCUGUUAUUAGGGAAGAACAAAUGUGUAAGUAACUAUGCACGUCUUGACGGUACCUAAUCAGAAAGCCACGGCUAACUACGUG
Molecule: ribosomal RNA, 497 nt
Filed under: uncultured bacterium
Lineage: Bacteria
Description: partial 16S ribosomal RNA
Rfam family: Bacterial small subunit ribosomal RNA
Source: RNAcentral